ACUAGUCGAGCUCGAGUUGUAGCUCUCCAAAUAUGAGCCAAAAGUGACUGAAGAGAGGAGAUUGACGUAGUGGCAGCUUCAGCAUUGGCUUUUGCUUUGAGCAUCGCUAUUUUUCCCUUGGUAAAAUGAAAAACUCUUUCUUGCAAAGGUGAUGGAAUGAACGAAUCAGAGUUGUUCUUUAUGACUGAGAGAGGAAGGCGAAUCGGCGGGCUAAUACUACCGUUGAGAAGUGACCACCGUUCAAGGACAGGAGUCUUGGAGAUGUGAUCCAACCCACGAUGGAUUUCAGACCAAGAAUUGAAGAAAUUCCAAAAUGACGUGCCAUCAACAGCAGCAUGGUUCAUGGUACAACCAACAAAGAUGCCAUCUACAAGCUCAGUAACUUGAACUGCAAGCAAAGGUUUGGAAACAGCCUCGUAGUUUAAAACCCCAUUUAAUGGAAAGAAAGAGUGGAGAAUUGGAGGAACAUAAACUGGCUGGAGGAUGUCAGCCAUGGUUACACCAUCCGCUGCGGCAUGAACAAACUGUGCUCCUGCAUUGUUGCAGUCAAUGAAGAAGGAGACUGUGUUAUCGUCAUGUUCUACUGUGGCUAGGCGACCAGCAAGAGGAUAGAAGAAAUCUAGUGUGCGAGAAAGUGAGAUUUUCAAGUGUUGGAUCAGUGAGUUUUGAUCUUCUAAUGAUUUGGGUUUGAGGAAGAGAAGACCCUUUUGGAUGGCACCUACUAGAAGAAGCUUGAGAUCACACUGAGUCAACUCAAUCCUCUCAUCCGUCACCUUGUCGGUAGUCGCUUGAACCAUGCUUGUAGAGAGCAAUCUAAUGUUUGCCAUGUUAAAUUUCUUGUCUGAUGAAGUUUUCCCACUAUGGAGUGUCCUUUUAAGCUCUGAGAAUGAAACUUAGCUCUCCUUUUCUCAAGUAAAAAGAAAAGAAAAACACUGAUUCUUCAAGACAACUAGAAAAAACCAGCGAUUGGUUACGUGCAGAUUUUAAAGAAAUUAUUUAUAAUAUAACCAAUGAAGGACCCACACGUGUCUGAUGCACAUGUCUCGCACCCAAAAAAGUUUUUCCCAUGACUCUCCCACUCAUAGUUUUAAAACCCGGACCGGCCCGGCGGGUCGACCAGGAACCCGGCAGACCCGAGCAUGGGACCGGUCCGGGUAAAGGCCAAAACCCGCUUGGGAAUUGGCCCGGUCGACCCGGCGGGUCGACCCAGGACCCGGUUGACCCGGCAAGACCCGGUCAACAUCCGGCCUCAAACCCGUUGACUUUUAUUUAUUUUUUUGUUUUUUUUUUACUAAAACGACGUCGUUUUGAUUUUUUUAAAAAAAAUUAAAAAAUAAAUUCUGACCCGGCUGACCCGGUCAAAACCCGGAACCCGGGCCUUGGACCGGGCCGCCCCCCGGGCCGGGUCUAAAAACACUCCCCCCACCUCUCGGCCAUUUGAGGGGAAAUGCGGAAAAAAAAAAAAAAAAUAUUAUUUAAUUUUAUAAGGGUUUUUUUUACUAAAACGACGUCGUUUUGAUUUUUUUAAAAAAAAUUAAAAAAUAAAUUCUGACCCGGCCGACCCGGUCAAAACCCGGAACCCGGGCCUUGGACCGGGCCGACCACCGGGCCGGGUCUUAAAACUAUGCUCCCACUCUUCGAGCAUUUGAAGGGAAAUGCGGAAAAUAAAAAAAAAUAUAUUAUUUAAUUGUAAUAGUGUUUUUUUCACUAUAUUUUUCAUUUGUUUUUUUUUAAUUUAUGAUUUUUUUUUACUUUUUACAAUAUUAUUCUGGUCUCAUGACUCAUAUCAAGUUUAUCUAUAUUGAUUUAGGUUAUUUUUUUAUUUUUUAUUUUAAUUAAUUUUUUUUAUUUUAUUUUUUAAUAUUAAAUUAAUUGAGAUACAUCUGGAUUUUUUUAGACUCGUCAAGUCAAUUAGUCAUAUCAAAUUAUUAAAAUAAUUAUAUAUAAAAUAUAUUAAAAUAAAAUUAGCUCUUCUAGUGGUUUUUUAUUGUUGAAGAUGUGCAUGUGUGUGUAUACAUUAAUUUGGCUCUUGUAAAUAACAUUCUAAAGAUACUUUUAGAUUUUGUGGUUGGCAAUGAAGUGAUUUUUAAAAAUUUUUUAAUUAAAAAGGUUUUUUGAGAUUUAUUUUUAUUUUUACAUCAAAAUAUCUAAAUUAUUAAAAAAUAUCUAUAAAAAUAUUAAUUUAAUAUUUUAUUCAAUAAAAAAAAAUUAAAUAACACUUUAAGAAUAAAAUUCAACCAUAACACAAAUCCUAAAAUCAACAAAUGAUGAACAAAGAAUGACUAGAAAUAUAUAUUCAUUUCCUAUCUAACCAAGCAAUGUAAGAAUCUGUUAAAAGGAAAAAUUAAAGAAAAAAUUUAGUUGUUAUCUAACUAAUCAUGAUUCUAUACUCUUUAUCUAUAUGCGUAUAAUAUCAUAUAAAUAUAUAAAAAAAAAAACAAUUAAAAAGAUAAAAAUAGAAAGCAAUAAAUGAUAUGUACUUGACUUCGUUUUUACUUUAAUUAUGACUACAGGAUUCUUCAAUUCAAUAAGAAUAAGAGUCGCUUAUUCUAACUAAGUAAAUAAUAUAUUAAGCAACAUCAGUAAUUAAGGAUGUAUUUUAGAUAGAUUGUGACACUGAUAAUGAUUUAAAGUAUUUUUUUUUAUAAAAAUAUAUUAAAAUAAUUUUUUUUAUUUUUUUAAAAUUAUUUUUAACAUGAUAUAUUAAAAUAUUAAAAAAAUGAUGGGGAACCUAAAAAAAAACCAUAAAAAAAAUUAAACUAGUUAAAUAAUGCUGCCAGUCUGGAGUCAGGACCACAAGUGGUUGUGUGUCUUCUAAUCAUUUAAUGCCCUAGGCCUUGCGAUAAAGGACGCCCAUGUGGCUCUGAUGAUCUGAUCUACCUCUAGCACUUUCGUCCAUUAUGUCAGAAACUUUGACAGGUUUGAGAGGACAAUUUGGGUGAUGAAGACAGCUAUUUGGAAAAUUAACAUGUGUUUGAAAUAUAGAUGUGGUUGGAUUUAAAAAAAAAAAAAAACUUUUAAAAGUAUAAAUCAUAUUUUAUAAAAGUAAAAGUUAGAUGCUUAUUUAUGUGGGUUCAUAAAAGAAACUAACCAUAUUUUUAUUCGACACACCUUAAAUAUGUAAAAAUUAAAAUUAGCCAAGAGAUCAAUCCUCUAUAUAUAUAUAUAAUCUGUUUUUGUAGCAACAGAGUACUACAAUUAAAAGACACAUGAUCAGAUAAUAGAGAAUAAUUAAUAGAAAUUAUAUAAAAGUAUUAGUUAGGUAGGUCAUGCUCCGCUACGAGGUUAUCUUUUAAAAUAUCAUAAAAAUCUAAGAUUUAAAAACAUUGAUCCAGGAGCAUUGAGUCUUGUUGGAACGCUAAACCAAACAAUAAUAUUUAAUGUAUUUGCCAAAAAUUUAUGUUUUUUAAUCUUUCAAAAAAAUUAAUAUUUUUCUUCUAUGGUAAUAAUAGCUUUUUAAAUUUUCAUAAUAAUAAUAAUAAUAAUUUUUAAUUAUAUACUUCAAAUAAAAUCUAUGGUUAUUUUUCAAUAUUGAUAAUAAUUUUUUUCAAAUUUAUUAAAUAUUUUAUUAAUAAUAUUAAUUAUAAUAAUAAUAAUAAUAUUUAUAACACAAAUAAUACUAUUUUUAAUAUAAAUACUUUAAAUUAUAAUAAAAAUAAUAAUAUUUACAAUACAAAUAAUACAAUUUUUAUUAUAGUAUGAAUACUUUUAAUUAUAAUAAAUAUAAUAAUAUUGAUAACACAAAUAAUUAUAUUUAGAAACUCAAAAUGCAAGAGCUUUGGGUCUUGCGGCAGAACCAAAAAGCAUAGUUUUGAAACCCGAUCGAAUCAUCGACCCGGUCUAGUGAUUGGGUCACGGGUCAGAUGAGUUGACCCGGGUUGACUCGGGUCAACCCAAAAAAAAAAAGCACCUAUAUAAAACACCUAAUUUUGCAUAAAUAUUAUUGUUUUUACAUUAACAUUGAGAUUCCUCUAAUUUUACAAAAUAAAUGAAUAGUUUAUGUAAUUUUAAAAACUAAUGAAUUAAUUUAUUGACUCGUGCCUCAAUUUAAUAUUAUUUUUUAAUUUAUUUUUGGGCAAUCUUUCUAUAUUAUUUACCAUUAAAUAAAUAAAUUAAUUAAUUAAAAAUCAACAUGAAAUGGAUUUUAGAAGUACUUAACUAGUUUUAAAACUAAGAAGAAACUAUUCUUUUUUUUUUUUGCAAAUUAAAAGAACUAAUUUAUAAUAUAAAUGUCAUGCCCCUUCACUUUUUGGAGCAAAGCGUAACAUUACAUUACCACUUUAAUAAUAAUAAUAGUAAUAAUAGUAAUUAAUUCAUUAAAAACCAAGCAUAAACAUCUCUGGUAAUAUUAGUCUUAAAAAUAAUGAAAUUUGUUCCAUCAACCACUACGCAGAAUCAUUAAUAACACUGUAAUGCAUAAUCAAAGACAGCUAUUUAUAAGUGAUUCUUCCUUCGUGCUCAACAACAACCCCAACUGGAAGAACAAAAUAGCCAUGUACAGACGCAAUGAACGAGCUAUACAACAGAAUCGUCAGUCGCAGAUCAAAGGAUCACCACCGCUCCGUUUCUCAAUCAAUGGGUCCGUGAAGGACAACCCAUCAACAAAAUUCAUUUCCAGGGGGUCCGGUCUCACAAAGCGAUAUGCUCAUGCUCUUGCUCUUAAGUUGUAAGUGUAUAUUUGUGUGUGCAGUGAAAUGGGUUUUUGAGAAACAACAGUCUUCUGCUUCUCUGCUCCUCAGCAAUUGAAAUUAGUCUUUCGUUAAUUAGGUUUUGCUCUAUGAGUUUGUGUCCCCAAUUCUGCAUCGUUGUUCUUCAUUCGUUUGUGUCCCCAAACGAUGAUACUUUAAAUUCUUCAGUCGGGUUUGACCGGGUGGCCCGGGUUUCACCGGGCCAUUUCCCAAAUGGGUUUUUACCUAUACCCAGACCGGUCCCAGGCCCGGGUCGACCUAUCGGGGCGGUCCGGGUUUUAAAACUGUGCUAAAAAGACUCUUGUCCAGAUCCAGGAUUCAAGAGCAUUAGGUCCUAACACAACACCCAAAGUAAUUGGUUCUUUAUCUAGAACACCCAAGAAAAUAAUAAUAAUAAUACCACAAAUAAAAAUAUUUUUUAUAUUAAUACUUUCAAUUAUAAUAAAAAUAAUAAUAUUUAUAACAUAAAUAAUACUAUUUUUUUAAUUAUAAUAAAAAUAAUAAUAUUUAUAAUAAAAAUAAUACUAUUUUUAAAAUGAAUACUUUUAAUUAUAAUAAAAAUAAUAAUAUUUAUAAUAAAAAUAAUACUAUUUUUAAAAUGAAUACUUUUAAUUAUAAUAAACAUAAUAAUAUUGAUAACACAAAUAAUUAUAUUUAGAAACCCAAAACCCAAAAACAUCGGGUCCUGACGCAAGACCCAAGCCAAUUGGGUCCAAACCCAAGACCCAAAAACCUUGGUUCAUGUCGUAGAAACCAAGUGAGAUGGGUCCAGCAGCAGCACCCAAGAACACUGGGUCCUUACAGCGGACCUAACAUAAUUGCGUCCUCCACAGGACUAAAGAGCAUUGGGACUUAGCGAGCACCCAAGCGACAUGGAUCCUGAAAAAUAAUAAUACUAAUAGUUAUAAUAAAAAUAAUAAUACUAUUAGUUAUAAUAAUAAUAAUAAUAAUUUUAAUUCUAAUAUUAUUAAUUUUAAUAAAAAAUACUAAUAUUUAUAAGAUAAAUAAUAAUAUUUUUGUAUUAAUAUUUAGAAUUAUAAUAAAAAUAAUAAUAUUUAUAACACAAAUAAUUAUAUUUUUUGUAUGAAUAUUUUGAAUUAUAAUAAAAAUAAUAAUAUUUAUAACACUAAUUAUAAUAUUUUUGAUAUUAAUACUUAUAAUUAAAAUAUAAACAUAAUAUUCUAGAUAUGAAUACUUUGAGUUAUAAGAAAAAUAAUUAUAUUUAUAACACAAAAAAUUAUAUUUUUUAUAUGAAUACUUUGAAUUCUAUUUUUUUAAUCUUUUUAAAAAAUAGUUUUUCUUCAAUAGUAAUAAUUGUAAUUUUUAAAAUUUGUUAAUGAUAAUAAUAAUGUUUUUUUUUUCAAAUUUAUUAAUUAUUUUAGUAAUAAUAAUAAUAAUAAUAAGAUAAAUAAUAAUAUUUUGAUAUUAAUACUAUUAAUUAUAAUAAAAAUAAUAAUUAUUAUAAUACAAAUAAUACUAUUUUUAAUAUGAAUACUUUUAAUUAUAAUAAACAUAAUAAUAUUGAUAACACAAAUAAUUAUAUUUAGAAACUCAAGACUUAAGAAUAUUGGGUCCUGUCUCUGGACCAAGGCAGUGUUUGGGAACACAGUUCAACCUGCGUUCCCAAAAAAAUUAAAAUUUUUUUUUUUUGCUAAAAUUGAGUGUGGUUUGUACCUUUUGGAUCGUUUUGAUAUGCUGAUGUCAAAAAUAUUUUUUAAAAAAAUGAAAAAACAUCAUUGACAUGCAUUUCGGUACAAAAAGUUAUUUGAAAAGCAACUACUACCACACUGCCAAACACGCUCCAAAUGGGCUUGGGUCCUGCGUCAAGACUCAAGACACAAGAGCUUUGGGUCCUGUGUCAGCACCCAAGCAUUGGCUCCGGCUCAGGACCCAAGAGACUUGGCUCAUGACGCAGGACUCAAGCAAAAUAAGUCUUGACGCAGGACACAAGCGCAUUGGAUCUAAACAUCAAACCCAAUAUAAUUUGGUCAUGACAUAGGACCCAAUAUCAAUUGGUUCUACGUUAGAAGCACCUAAGAAAAUUAUAGUAAAAAUAAUAAUAUUUAUAUCAUAAAUAAUAAUAUUUUUUCUAUUAAUACUUUGAUUUAUAAUAAAAAUAAUAAUAUUUAUAACACAAAUAAUAAUAUUUAUAACACAAAUUUCUUGUCUGACGAAAGUUUUCCGCUAUGGAGCGCCCUUUUAAGCUCUGAGAAUGAAACUGAGCUCUCCUUUUCUCAAGUAAAAAGAAAAGAAAAACACAGAUGCUUCAAGACAACAAGAAAAAACCAGCGAUUGGUUACGUGCAGAUUUCAAAGAUAUUAUUUAUAAUAUAAUCAAUGAAGGACCGACACGUGUCUGAUGCACAUGUCUCGCACCCAUAUGUUUUUUCCCUUGACUACUCUUCCACUCUUGAGCAUGUGAAGGGAAAUGCGGAAAAUAAAAAAAAUAUAUAUUAUUUUAGUUUUUAAUAUUUAUUUUACAUGCUUUAAAUGAAGUACAAAACAAAAUAUUAUUUUAUUAUUUUUCUAUAAAAAUAUUAUUCUUACUUAUCUUAUAAAAAUAUCAAAAUACAAUUCAUUGUAAUAGUGUUUUUUUCACUAUGUUUUCAUUUGUUUUUUUUUAAUUUAUGUUUCUUUGUUUGUUUUUUAGAGAAUUUUCCUAGUCUCAUGACUCGUGUCAUGGGUUUAACGAGUUCAUCUGUAUUGAUUCGGGUUAUUUUUUAUUUUUUAUUUUAAUUAAUUUUUUUAAUUUCAUCUUUUAAUAUUGAAUUAAUUGAGAAUCGUCUGGAUCUUUUUAGAUUCAUAAAGUUAAUUAGUAAUAUCAAGUUAUUAAAAUAAUUGUAUAUAAAAUAUAUUAAAAUAAAAUUAGCUCUUCUAAUGGCUUUUUACUGUUGAAGGUGUGCGUAUGUGUAUAUAUAUACACACACGUACCAAUUUGACUCUUGUAAAUAGCAUUCUCCUCUUAAAGAUACUCUUAGAUUUUGUGAUCGGCAAUGAGGUGGAGUGUGAUUUUUAAAAAUAAUUUUUAAUUAAAAAGGUUUUUGAGAUUUGUUUUUAUUUUUUACAUUAAAAUAUCUAAAUUAUUAAAAAAAUAUAUCUAUAAAAAUAUUAAUUUAAUAUUUUUUCAACCAAAAAAACAAUUUAAAUAACACUUUGAGAAUAAAAUUCAACCAUAAAAACAAAUCCUAAAAUCAACAAAUUAUGAACAAAGAAUGACUAGAAAUAUAUAUUAAUUUCCUAUCUAACCAAGUAAUGUAAAAAUCUGUUAAAAGGAAAAAUUAAAGAAAACAUUUAGGUUAUUUUUAAACCCGCCAAGUCAACUGGAUCAUAUCAAGUUGAUAAAAUAAUUAUGUAUUAAAUAUAUUAAAAUAAAAUUGAUUGUUCUAAUAUUGAAAUAUAUAUAUAUAUACUAUUUAAAAAACCAUAUUAUCAAUUUAGCUCUUUUAAAUAUCAUUUCCUCUUAUAGAUGCUCUUGGAGUUUAUGAUUGGCAAUGGAGAGCAUGAUUUUUAAAAAUGAUUUUAAAUUAAAAAUGUAGUUUUUUUUAGUUUUAUUUUUAUUUUUAUUUUUUAUAUAAAAAUAUCCAAAUUAUUAAAAAUAUUUAAAAAUUAUUAUUUUAAUAUUUUUUCAAACAAAAAAAUAAUUUGAAAAACUUUUGAAAAUAUAUUCUAACAAUAAAAACAAAUACUAAACUCUGGUGAUAAGAAAGGUUGUUAGGCAGAUGAUUUAUUUGUUUGCUAGUCUGAAUGAUGUCUGAUUUGAAACAACCAUAAAACUUUCCUAGGCUCCAAAGUCCAGGCACGUGCCCAAGAGCAGACCUCGCUGUAAGCCCUGGCAUGUCUGUAUUACAAACCCAAACAAAUUUUCUAGGCCUUCUUCUUCUUUUACAAUGGUAUUUUAAAAAUAAUUCAAUUAUUCCAUGUUUUGAAUAAUAUUUGAAAUUUUAUUGUAUUAUUUUUUAUUGUGAUAUUUACUUAUUUUUUAUGAUUAUAUUGGAUACUAAUCCGUACAAGUCUAAACAAAUUAGGAUAAAUAUUCAUUAAGAAUAAAAUAUAUAAUUUUAUAUUUUUAUAUUUUCAAACUGUAUAUUAUUUAUUCCAAUUAAUUAUUAAUUUAUUUUUUAUUAAGUCACAUGAAACAAAUUGAAAUAUUUUUUUAUUAUUCUCUUUAAGAUUGCUUUAAAAUAUGAUAAAUUUUUAUUUUAAUAAUAGUGCUUUUGAUAAAAAAAAACAAUUACCUAGAAAAUUCUUCAAAAACUUAAUGAAUAAGGAAAAUGAAGUCUUGGCUAAAGAAAUCAUUCUUUCUUUCAUAAUUUUAAUCAUUCGAGUUUUGAUAUAUAUUUAUUUUAAUUGCUUUAAAUAUUUGCGCAAAUAAUGAUAUUGUUAAUAAAAACAAUCAUUGUUCUGUAAAAAACAAAAACUAUAAUUAACAAAAAGGAAUUUUGACAAUAAAAAUAAUGUUUUUUUCUCAUAAUUUAAAUCAUUAAGGUUUUUAUUAAUAUUUAUUUUAAUUAUUGCAAAAACAAUUAUAGAAUUUAUUCCUCUUAAAUUUUAAAUAGAUGAGCUAUAUUUUCUUAAUAAAUUUAUAAGAAACAAAAUUAUAUUCAUUUUGUGAACCAACAUUACCCUCCAGGAUAAAAUAUUUACAUAUGCAUUUAUCUUUCACUUCUUAUAUAAAAUAUAUUUUUCUACUUUAAUCUUUAAUUAAUGUUAAUUACUCUUUCAUGAUUAAAAACAUUACUUUUCAAAUAAGAUUUAAAUUUUUUUAUGGUUAUAUUAUCAAUUAAUUUAUAAGAAAUUUAUAUAAAUCUAAUUUGUAAUUUUGUUUUAAAAGUUGCUCCUGACUAGUCAAUGAGAGUGAUUUUUUAUUUUUCUUAUAUUAAUGUUUAUAUAAUUUUCUUAUAUUAAUUAUUUAUAUUUUAUUUUUUAUACUAUUGCUUGAAAUUACUAUGAUAUAUUUUUAAAAAUGAAUCUUAAAAAGAUAUUAUUGAUUAAAAAAACAUAAUAAGGAAGAAAGUGAUUAAAAUCAUUUGAAUUCUUUUGAAUGUUGAUUUUAAUUGUGUUAAGUUUUUAUUUAGAAAUUAUGCUACAUAUAAAAAAUACAUGUUUUCAUAAAAAAAAAUGAUAAAUUUUUUUAAAAUAUUUUUUUAUAAUUUAAAUUGUAAAAUUUUUGAAAAAUAUUUAUUCUCAUUAUCACAUAAUUAAAUAAAAUAAGUUGUAAAACUUUCUUAAACUUCCUUUAUAUAGCUAGUUCUCUUCUAAGGCAUUUCUCAUCAUAAAAAAGAAAUCAAAUUUUAGCUUUUUAUAGGAAUCCCAGGUAGCUUGAGUUUCUUUCCCCCUUUGUAGGGGAGUGCCCCUCUGUGUAAAUUUCAAAGGAAAAAAGGGAAUUGUCAACCCUGUUAUGUAUUAAUUGAGUUUGUCACAACUGCAUUAUUUACAAGAUUAUUUUCCUAUAUUGUGCUAAGCUAAUUCUGGAAUAAGAGUUACAAUAGGAAUACAUAUCUUUGACAACAUACGUUUCCUAAUACAUUACGUAAACAUGAGAUUGAUUCUUUCUUAACACUUCCCCUCAAGUUGGAGAGUGGAUGUCAAGAACUCCCAACUUGCGAAUCAUGGUGGAGAAGCUAGUUUUUCCCAAUGGUUUAGUGAAGACAUCCGCAAGCUGUUUUGCUGAAGUAACAAAUUCAGUCAUGAUCGAACCAUCCUGUAUUUUGUCCCGAAUGAAGUGACAAUCCAUUUCUAUAUGUCUGGUUCUCUCAUGAAAAAAUGGAUUAGCUGCUAUGUGUAAAACUGCUUUGUUGUCGCAGUGUAGUAAUGCUGGUUUCGGGUGCAAUAUCUGUAGGUUUUUCAACAAUGAUCGUAACCAAGAUAACUCACAACAUGUACCUAUCAUAGCUCUGUAUUCGGCUUCUGCUGAGGAGAGUGAUAAUGUCUUUUGUCUUUUCAUUCGCCAAGAAACAAAUGAAGAACCCAAGAAAACACAAUAACUUGUAGUUGAUCUCCGAGUCAUUGGGUAACCAGCCCAAUCCGAAUCACAAAAAGCUCGCAGAGACAUACCAUUUUGAGAAGAGAAAAACAAACCCUGACCUGGAGCACCUUUCAAGUAACGCAAGACACGCAAGCUAGCCUCCAUGUGCGGUUUGCGUGGGGCAUGCAUAAAACGACUUAGCAAGUCACCUCCAUGUAUAGAAUACAUGAUAUCCAGUCGUGUAAUAGUCAAGUAGAUUAGGCGCCCCAUAAGUCUUCUAAACUAAGAUGGAUCUUUAAGCAAGUCACCUACAUCAAAGAGUUUUGUGUUUUGUUCCAUAGGAAAAUUCACGGGUUUAGCACCCAAAACCCCGCCAUCCUUCAGAAUUUCCAAAGCGUAUUUUCAUUGUGAGAUAGAAAUACCUUUUUUCGAUCGAGAGACCUCAAUGCCCAGAAAAUACUUCAAAUCACCCAAAUCCUUAAUGCGAAUGUCGUCAACAUAUAUCAAUAAUGUAGUAAGAGAUUUACCAUUGCGACAUGUGAACAAUGAAUAACCUGCUUUAGACUGAACAUAUCCGGCAGCUUGAAUAGCUGCAGAGAAUUUAGCAAACCAGUGGCAAGACGCUUGCUUUAAUCCAUACAAUGACUUGUUGAGGCGACAUACCAAGUUCUCCCCCUGUCGCUGAAGACCAGGAGGUGGACACAUAUAAAUUUCUUCGUGAAGAUCACCAUGAAGGAAAGCAUUGUGUACAUCUAGUUGGUGGAGGGACCAAUUCUGUGCUGCUGCUAAAGCCAAUAAACAGCGGACGGUAAUCAUUUUGGCAGUAGGAGAGAAUGUGUCAUGUAUGUUGUAACCCAUUUCUGGGUCCCCACAUAAAAAAUAAUAAAAUACAAAAAAAAAUUCAAAAAAUAUAUUAUCAAAAAAUAGAACAGUGAAAAAAUGCCAAAGCGCCCUGAAAAUGCUCAAAAAAAUUGUUUAAGGAUUUUCAAAAAUAUAAAAAAUAUUUUUUGACAGUAUAUCAUUGACUGAUGAGAGCCCCGAUGAUAAAGAAAAUUCAAUUUGUGGAAGAAAAAUGCAAAAUCAGAAGUUUAUGGACUCAAUUAAAUUCUAUUAAAGGUUUAAUUGCAUUUAUGAAGAUUUUAAUUGCAAGAAAAAUUGAUUUUGGAGUUAAUUUGGGCUUUAAUUAGGAGAAAUUAAUUUUCUGGGGUCAAAUUAUAAUUUUUGGAAGUUAAUUUGGUCAAAUCAGGGGCUUAAUUGCAUAAAUAUUGAAGUUUAAUGGCCAAUUAGGGACUUAAUUGAAGAAAUCCGAGACCAAGGACUAAAAUGCAAAACGCGCGCAAAUUGAGGGACUUCUUUGAAUCUGACGCGUUUUGGCGCCUUUUCCUUUUAAAUGAAACGGCGCGUUUUGACCAAAACGGUGCCGUUUCAUCCACUGUUGCAAAAAAAAAAAAAAAAAAAAAGAAGCCCAAAACGGUGCCGUUUUGAAGGCACUGUAGGUCUUCUUCUUCCCCUGGACACGCGAGGCAGGGGAAAAAGAAGAUUUUUCUUCUCCCUUUUCGCCUACUUUCUUUCCCCUUUUUUGCGUAAAAAGACGCCCACCAUUGCCUAACGUUUAUCCUUUGAAACGGUAGUGGAGGGGGCGGCCAACAGUGGCCGCCCCACCAUGACGUCUCCCCUGUUUUUUGCCUAUAAAAACAGGGGAGAACCAAAGAAGAAAAAGAAGGACAGAAGGGAGAAGAAAGGAGGAGACCGAGAGAAAGGAGACCGAGGGAGAGAGAGAGGGCAAAGAAGAAGAAGAAGAAGCAGAAGCAGCAGAGAAGAAAAAUAAAAACAGAAGAGAGAGAGAAGGGAAACGCAGAACCACCGUGCCUCCGCCACCAUCGCCUCCGCUGCCACCAGCAGCACCGCCUCGACGCCACCGCAGGUAAUCUCUCACCGCCUCGUCUCCUUCUCCGUUUGCCCGCCUCCUGUUUUCGAUUGCAUGUAGAACGUGAAUUAAUUCACUUUCUGCAGCUGAAGGAGGCUGGUUACUAUGGCACAGUAACCAGCCCAUUUGGUAAUGGGCCGGGUUGGCCCAGCCCACUUAUAUGGGCUGGUCCGACCCAUUUCAACCCAUUUCAAAUUUUUUUUUUUUUAUAAGUUUUUUACAAUUUUUCCAGCACAUAUAUUUUAUCAAUUUUGCUUAAUAUCGGUCUGUAUUUUACAUCGUAAAAAUAUAAAUCCGGUAUUAAAAUACCCGUUUUUCGGCAAAAACUUCCAAAAAUAAAUAAAAAAUUGAAAAAAAAAAAAAAAAAAUGUUUUUGUGCAUACGGCCAAGUGUCUCAAAUCUAAAAUAUCAUAUCGUAUUUUUCACAUGUUAAAAAACAAUAUUUUAGCAUGCAUUUUGGCUUUAAUAACUAGUUUAUUAAAGUCAAGAGAACAUUGGCCAAAAUCUCAAAAACAACAAAAUAUUUUAUUUUAUUUGAUUUUAGUAUCAGGGAUUAUGAAUUUAUACGUAAAUCGUAUUCCUGAUAUUAAAAAGAUAUUUUUUUUGACGACUUCGAAUAGUUAGUUUUUUACCCGAUGAAGAUAAGGAUCUCCUUACAGAGGAGGACUUUUCUUAAAUCAUAAACGAACCAACAAUUCAAAAACCACAACGAUUUUAGAUUUUAUCAGACAUUAAAACAAUGCAGCCUACCUUAGGUAGGGCGUAGUUGGGGUGCUAAUACCUUCCCUUUACGCAACCAGUCUCCGUACCCGAUCUCUAAAGACCAGUUAAGGUUCCUAGUAACCAGAAUACUAGGUGACGACUCUCAUUCCAAUUUUUCACUUGUAGAGACAAGAAUUCCUUGUCUCUCCCUUUUUUUCAAGGAAUAAAUUAUUCCGAUUUUUCCUUGAGGGUGGACGAUCGCCGCGCCGCCGCACACGUGCGACAAUGGAAAUCAAUACCUUCCAGCUAUGUGUAACCCUUGGCCACUAACCGAGCUUUAUGACGCUCAAUGGUGCCAUCUGAAUGGCGUUUGACUUUGUAUAUCCAGUAACAUCCAAUGGCAGUCUUGCCAGGAGGGAGGGAUGUGAGGGACCAAGUCUAGUUAGCUUCCAAUGUUGUGAGCUCAGUUUGCAUGGCAUUGUGCCAUUGUGGAAGGGAGGCAGCUUCAGUGUAUGAGCGGGGCUCAAUGUCCUAACUGAUGGUGGCAACAAAAGACCUGUGCUGUGUGAGUAGCGAUGAUAAGAAAUGAAAUUAGAAAGAGGAUACCUUGUACCUGUGGUGGGACUAGACGAUGAAGGCAGCGUUGGUUUGGGAGACGUUACUUGGUUGCAAACAUAAUCACGUAGAGUACGAGGAGGGUUGUGAUGCCGCUGGGAACGACGUAGAGGCUGCAUAGGAAGGAUAGGUUGUGAUAGGGGCACAUUAUAGGGAGAGGACGGAGGGACUGGGGUGGAAGACGCUGAGGAGGGGACUGGGAAGUCUGCUGAAGGAAAAUCAGAGAUGGAAAGGGGAAUGACUGGUGUGGCAGUUGUGGAUUCAAUUGAUGGUAUGGGAGGUGCAGGAAUGGUACGGGGUGAUUGAUAGGGAAAAAUAUGUUCAUGAAAGAUAAUGUCGCGGCUGGUGACAAAUUUAUGGGUGGUAAGGUUGUAGAGUUUAUAAGCUUUUUGGCCGACUGGGUACCCGAGAAAAACACAUCGUGCAGCUCGAGGAGCAAAUUUAUGUGUAGCGUGCACUUCAGUAGCAUAUGCAAGGCAACCGAAAACUUUGAGAUGGGAGUAAUUUGGAACCUUGUUGUAAAGUUUUUCAAAAGGGGUUUUAUAGGAAAGAAGUGGUGUGGGCAAACAAUUAAUUAAAUGGACAGCAGUAAGGACGCAUUCUGCCCAAAAAUACGAGGGGAGAUGAGCUUGAAAACGAAGAGCCCGUGCAGACUCAAGGAUAUGACGAUGUUUACGCUCGACGACCCCAUUUUGUUGGGGCGUAUAAACGCAAGAGUGUUGAUAAGUUAUGCCAUGUUGGCGGAAAAAAUUUUGCAUAGAAAAAAAUUCCCCCCUAUUAUCGACGCGAAUAUUUGCGAUGGAUGCAUUAAAUUGAGUUUUGACAAAGGAAAAGAAAUUGAUGAGUAAAUUUUGUGUUUCAUGUUUGUGAUGCAUAAAAAAAACCCAUGUAAAUCGAGAGUAAUCAUCCACAAUUGUCAAAAACUAUUUAGCACCAGAAAGAGAAGGAAUUUUAUAAGGCCCCCAAAUAUCGCAAUGAAUUAAUUCAAAUGGUCGAAUCGAGGAAAUUGAACUAGCAUAAAAGGGAAGACGACAUUGUUUUGAAAGUGCACAAAUAUCACAAGCAUCUUGGGAUUUAAAAGGAAAAUUGAGUAAAGUUUUUUCCAUAAAAUGUAAUCUAGAGGAAGAUAAAUGCCCUAAUCGGCGAUGCCACAAAUCGGUGGAGGAGAUGACAUGAGAAUGGGAUGAUUGGGUAGCAAUGGUAGCAGAUGCGGAGGGUUGGUAUUUUGGUGUUGGUGGUGUUGAUGCUAAUGCAACCAAGUAAUAAAGUCUGCCUCAUUGUUUACCCAAACCAAUCGUCGUCUUCGUCACCAAGUCCUGUAAAACACACCAAUAGGGGAAAAAGGUUACUUAACAAUUAAGUCCUCUUGUAAUUCAACUUAUGGACAUCAAAUCCACCUUAAAAGAUGGCACACCAAGCAUAUUUUUUAGAGAAAUAACAGAAUUCAAAUGUAAAGUCCCGGUAGACGUAAUUGGAGCCCAUUCUCCACUUGGCAUAAUAACUGGUGGCAAAGUAAUGUUUGUCGACUAUUGACAAGCAGAUUUGGAGAAGAAGUAAUAUGGUCAGUGGCACCACUGUCGAGAAUCAAUCGACUUGGCAUAAUAACUGGUGUUUGUAACAAACCUGCAGUGGUUUCUGCAGCAUUUGCUUGAGGAACAGUGGUUUGAGCAUUUCCUGUAUUGUUCAUGAUAGACAAUAUCUGCUGGAAUUGUAAAUCAGAGAGUCCUUUCAUCACCGAAUGCUUCUCUUCCAUCGUGGGACCUUCCUUGAUGUAAUUAGCUGAAGGUUGUGCAGGUUUGUUGAAUUGUUGACGACUUCCAGACUUGUUGAAUAUGUUGGCUUUAUGCUUUGGGUGACCUGGUGGAUAUCCAUGCAAUUUUCAACAUGUAUCUUGCACAUGAUGUUCACUGUCACAGUAUGUGCAGUGCAGUGGCUUACGAUUAAAGGAAUUGGAGCAGGAGGUUACCCCUUGACCUGAUCGAAAAGCCAGAGCCGUGGGUGCAUUUCAUUGAAUUGCCAUGGCUGCAGUUUUUGUUGCAUCAUGUGUAUCACCUAAGUUGUGUUGCUUUUCUUCUUGAACAAUGGAAGCAUAAGCCUGAUGAACAUCAGGUAAAGGAUUCAACAGUAGAAUCUGCCCCCGAAUUGCCUUGUAAGAUUCAUUUAAUCCCAUGAGAAAUUGCAUCAAUUGUCGUCGCUUAUGAUCUGCUCCACAAGAGCAAACAGUUCUGUUGUAAGAUCCCAAUUCAUCCCACAAUCCCUUUAGCUUUGUAUAAUACGCCGCAACUGUCAUCUGAGCUUGAGAAACACAAGCUAUAUCUCUCUCAAUCUGAAAAAUACGAGGAGCGUUACUUUGAGAAAAAUGAUCUCGAAGAUCCUCCCAAACUUCUUGUGCUGUAGUUGAAUAUAUAACAUUGUCGGCAAGUUCUGGUGUAAUUGAGUUGAGAAUCCAUGAUAAAAUCAUGUCGUUGCAUCUUUUCCAUAAAGCAUGAUCAUCUGGCUGGUUGAUGGCUGAUGGUAUUUGUAUUGUCCCAUCUAUAAAUCCCAAUUUAUUUUUAGCGUUUAAAGAAAUUGUCAUAGAUCUGCACCAAGUAGAGUAGUUAUCACCAUUGAGAGGUUUGGAAACAAGCACCAAUCUCGGAUGAUCGGAAUAGUAAAGAAAAAAAAGGAUCAAAGGCAUUAUUCCUGCCUUUCUUAGAAAAUUGCUCGUGUUCCAUGGUAGUUAACAAUCGACAAAAAAAAUUAAAGCAAGAGUUUGGUUGGUGGCUGAUGGUUUUAUGAGAAAGAAGAGGCUUCUAGGUUUGCUAGCAGCAACAGAGACAAAGAGCGGCAAGAGAAGGAGAGCUAGGGUGAACCAAGCUCUGAUACCAGGUAAAUUUCAGAGGAAAAAGGGAAUUGCCAACCCUGUUGUGUAUUAAUUGAGUCUGUCACAGCUGCAUUAUAUACAAGAUUAUUUUCCUAUAUUGUGCUAAGCUAAUUCUAGAAUAACAGUUACAAUAGGAAUACAUAUCUUUGACAUCAUAUGUUUCCUAACACAUUACGUAAACAUGAGAUUGAUUCUUUCUUAACACUUUGGCUAGAGGAGAGCCGUCGAGCACAUAAAAGCUUAAUGUGGAAAAAAAAAACCGGUUUAAAUUUAAUCAAGUGACUCACAUGCUUUGGAUUAGUAAGUGCCAUCUCCGAUGACUUUGAAGUUAUCCAAACACUUGUUUAUGUUUUUUUUUAGGUUGCCAGCCCCAGUUUACGGGUUACCUCGACUAAUCUGGUGGUCGUCCCGGGUCGCAUACCUGGCAGUGGCAGGUGAGGCUACCAAUAGGUGUUGCUGCGUACACGAGGACUCGAAACCGAGACAUCGCUUAAGCGGAACAAGCUGCUUACCACUUGAACCAACCUUCAUUGGUUAACACUUGUUUAUGUUAAACGGGGUGUUUGAAGUUAGUUAUCAGCACUGGGAUAUGGCCAUGUCCGGUUGCGGAGGUGAUCGGAUUUUAUGGACAUCCGUUGAUCAUAGCCAUGAUUUCAUCAACAAUUUAAUAAACAUGUCAUUAAAUAUAAAGAGUGUGAUUAUUUUCAUUUUAAGAAUUAACUGUGGAGAGAUGGGCACAUCAUAAUUCACAGGACUUGCAAAUUCACAAUGAAAUGGUGAACAGGAAAUUUAUUGUUGAGAGAAAGUGGAAGAGAGAAAACAGAGCAAAUAAGUUUUUUACUUUGGUUUUCAAAAUUUUUGAGGAUUUUUUUUAAUUUCGAACUUUGUUUUUUUUUUUAAUUUUUAAUUUUAUCAUUCAUCAUUUCAUCAUUGAAUUUAUUAGUUAUAAGAUUUCAUAAUUUAUUUUAAUUUAUUUUCUAUAAAGUUAUUUUGAUCUCAUGAUCCAUACCAUAAGGUUUGUUGGUUGGUCGUGUUAACUUGAGUUAUUUUUUUUGUUUAUUUUUUAAUUAUUAUUUUUUUUAAUUUCAUCUUUCAAUAUUAAGUUGAUUAUAAAUUGAAUUUUUUUUAUUAUUAUUCUUUUUCUAUGGAGUUAUCCUUAUCUUUUAACCUGAGUUUGUUAAGUUAACUUGAGUUGACUCUAGUUAUUUUUUCAAUUUAAUCUUUUAAAAUUGGGUUGAUUGGGAAUUGAAAUUUAUAAUUUUUUUAUUUGCUUUCUACGGGGUUAUCACUAUUUUAUGACCCGAGUCACAAGCUAGACUAGUUAACUUGGGUUUUUUUUAUCCUUUUUUUGUUUCAUCCUUCAAUAUUAAGUUGAUUGAAAAUUAGGCUUUAUAAUUUAUUUUGGUUUGCAUUAUAUGAGGCUAUCCUUAUCUCAUUAUUUAGGUCACGGGUUUAGUCGGUUGACUCGGGUGGUUUUUUAAGUCCUUUUUUAAUUGACUUUUUAUAUAUAUAUAAAAAAAAUUCCUUGAAAAUUUGAUUGAUUGGAAAUUGAGUUUUAUAAUAUAUUUUGAUUAGUUUUUUAUUGGGAUAUCUUUGUCUUAUAACCCAUGUAUGAUAGAUUAAUCCAAGUUGACUCAACCUGUUUUUUUAAUUAAUUUUUUUUUAAUUUAUCAUUCAAUAUUGAAUGGAUUGAGAAUUGAAUUUAUUUGUUUUCUAUAGUGUUAUUAGAGUCUAACGAAUUUUAUAGAUUAACCCAAGUUUAUCCAAGUCAGUCUAAUAUAUUGUUGUUUCAAUAUUUAAAAAAAAGAUGUUGUUCUGAUUUUAAGUCAAACUAUAUUUUUAUUGGUUGUUCAAGUUGUCUUUUGAAUUUGUCAAGUCAAUCAAGUCAUAUCAGAUCAAUUUUUAUAUAGUUUAAUUUUAUUUUUUUACUAAAAAAAACAUAUUAACAACUUUCAAAUAAUUUUUUUAUGUUAAAAACAAUUAAUCUCAUUCACAACACGAGAAAUGUAUAAAAGGAGAUUAGGGUGUUAAUAAUUUUUAGGAUUAUAAUAUUUUUAUGCUAUGUUUGGUACCAAGUAAUUGUAAUGUAUAAAACGCUAUUAUGGUGUAAACAUUUGUGAGGCUUAUAAUACUUUUAUGCUAUGUUUUGUACCAUGUGAUGUAAUUAAAUAUGUUGUGUAAAAGAAAGUUAUGUAAUGUAAUUGAGGCCUUCAUAAAGUUUCAAUUUAUUCAUUAAAUGUUUUCAAUAAAUUUAUUUUAUAGUCUCUAUAUUUUAUUUUUAUUUACAAAUUGGUUCAAUUGUUUUUAAAAAAAUGUCCAUGUAUUUUACCAUACAGUUAUUGUUUUAAGAAAUAUACACUCCAGUGUUUAGCAUUUCAGUAAUGGAUUUUUUAAUAGAUUUUAAUUUUAUUUGCUAAUAAAAUUGUUUUUUAAGUCUAAUAAAUGAUAGUGCAUUGAGAAAAUCAAAUUAUAUAAAUAUUCAAGAGUUAGGCGAGUCUGAGCGUGUAGCCAGUAUUUGCACUUGCAGUCUCUGUUUCGUCUCCAAUGAAAUUAAAGACGUCUAGGUCAAACCAAACCUCACCUUGCUUACCAGAAUGGCUACACCUAGCUGGCCUCUGCUAGAUGGCUGGAUUGAUAAAUUCACAGCAUUGAGUGAUUGUAGUCCCAAAAAUUAUUGAUUGAUGUUAAUAAACGUGUUAAUUAGGCACAAAUAGGACACACGCAGUGCAAACCCCGUCAGUGGAGCCAAGUACAGAAAUUAUGGAGCUUGAAAGAAACGCAGGGAGCAUGACACCAAGUACAGAAGCAAUUCCAAUCCAAAAAUAGAACAUGAACUAAGCUUCUUUAAGAUAGUUCUAAGAUUCAAAAAUGUGAGAUGUGAAAUGGCUGUUGGAUCUAGAAAGUUACUUAAUAUGUGCAUCAAGUAAUAAAUAAUGAGGUCCCGAAAAUCCAAAUAGUUCAGAAAUAAAAAUCUCGGGUUGGAUAAUUAAUGAAUUAAUUAGUUCUAGCAAUCUCACUUAUUUUUUCUAGCAAGAGAAUUUGAUAAUUUAUAUUCAGUGCUUAGUAAGCCAAGAUAGCUUGUAGCUAAUACAUGCAAAGGAUCCACUAUGGUGAAGAUGAGGAUCCUUUUAUGUUUAAAUAAGUAUAUUUUCAGAUAAAAAAAAUACAAGAAUAUUCUAGAAAGAAAUGUUCUGAAAAUUUAUUUGCAGUAGAGAAUGAAGAUUGUUAACCUUUGUUCUGAAAGUUUCAUGGUAUAUUUAUAACUCAUGAGUUUUUUUUUUUUGAAGAGAUGGUCUGGAGUGUAAUUUUAUCUUAAUAGCAUUUAAUGAGAUACAAAUAUAUUUUAUAUCUAUAUUAAUAUUUGAUGGAAAUAUAAUGCGUUUUUUAAGGACUUUUAUAUACUUACAAGGUAUUAAGAGAUUAAGAUCUAAAACGUUAGUUGAAUUUAUUUAAGGCUAAGUUCCUCUCUUAAACUACACCUAAUGGAGGAGGGCCAUCUCUUUAAUCGUGUACAAUGAAGGAUAUGGUCACUAUCUUCGCAUGUCAAGAGAGGAUGUGAUCAUUCCUUUAGAUGUGCUCAGUCAUGCUCAAGAGAUGAUAGUCAUUCUUUUAGGGGUGCCCAAUGCAUGGCAUUUCCUUGGAUAUCCCUGGGGAAGGCUUAGGCGUGCUCAUGGCUUGUAACAGCCACCUCUAGUAGCCUAUACAAAUAUGGAAAGAAGGUGACUGUGUUGAGGUAAUUACAAAAAAAAAAAAAAAAAAAAAAAAAAACCUUGAAAUUCUUCUAUUGCCGGUUUCCCCUUCUUUUCUUUUUUUAUAUAAUUGACUGGGAAUUGCUGCGUGCUCUUUUUUUCGAGCAAUCUUCGACAGAUAUUUGGCAUGCCAUAUGUGCCGGUGUGAAAUCUGCGUGCUCCCUUGCAAAUGUUUCAGGGGAUGAAGUGACAGGGAUGGGAUUCGCGGCUACUUGUUCUCUUGGUUUGUAGACUUUUUGAAAAAUGUUACUGGAAGAUACCUUUUGUUUUAUUGUGAAUUUUUGUUUUGAUUGAUGAUUUGGUUUAGAAAUGUUACUUCUUAUUCGACAAAGUGGUUUGAUUUGACAGUUGCGGUCGAUGCUGAUGGAAGCCCUGUUACAGUUUCCUGGAGUGGUGAUUCAAGACGGAAUGUUAUAGUAUGGAUGGAUCACAGAGCUGUUAAACAAGCUGAAAAGAUCAAUUCUUCUAGCUCACCAGUACUGCAAUAUUGUGGUGGAGCUCUUUCUCCUGAAAUGGAGCCACCAAAGGUUGUUGGGAAUGCAUUAAUUCCCUUGCUCAAUCCUAAAAUAUGCUUUCUGUACAUUAAUUUGUUUGCACAACAUAUAUAUUCAUCAAUUCAAGUUCAAAUAAUUGUCACCUGCAUUACUAUGUAGUUUUGGGCUUUGGGAGCAAGUAAUUACUUUUUUUCGAGAAUGAUUUGCCACCCUUUUCAGAUUAAUAUCUAAGCUUCCAUUUCUGCUGUUAUUAGAGUUUGAGAUUUUCAACAUAUUGGAAAUCUUAGUACAUAUCUAAUUCCUCUAGGUUUAUUGAGAAAUGAAAACGGACUUAUGACUAAUCUUGGUAUUCAAGAUUUGCACUGUCUUCUUCUUUUGUGGUGGACUGCUGAAGUUUUUGUUAUAUCUGAAAAAAUACCAUUCAACCUGAAAGUGAUGAGUUACAGCUCAUAGCUUCUUAUCAUAUUAAAAGUAUAGAAUUGUAUUUACUGGUACUUGUAGCUCUUGUUCAGUGUGAGUGACUUUUGUAAUUUACACAGGACGAAGUGUAGCUUUCCCUGGUCAUCCUUUGGGUUCUGGUUUAACUCCUACAGCUGCACAGGCAAGAAUCUUUUGUGUUGAAGAAUUCGUAUCUUCUGGACUUUGAAGCCCUGACUUGUGUAUUCUUGACUCCAAACAGUGACCUACUUUUUCAGGAACUGGGUCCUGUGGCAGGAACAUCUGUGGCUGUGGGGACUUCACUGAUAGAUGCUCAUGCUGGUUCUGUUCCAAAAACAUUAUAUUCGGAAAUCUUUCUUGAUUUAAUAUCUUUUUUAUAAAGAUAUACUGGUUCAUCAAAUAAUAUUUCUUGUGACAAAUAAACAAGUUAGUAGACAUUAAAAAUAAAGUGCCAGAAUAUUUUUUUGUCGUGCCUGGGACUUAUCACAUUGCUAUCAGUUGAAUCGUGAUUGAAUUUGACUAACAUUAAAUCUAAUGUGUCUUUAUUAAAACGUGCUUGUAUUAUUUUAAACUUUUUUCAAUUUAAUACAUAAAAUUUAUUAUUUUCUUUUGAUACACCGACUUUUCAAUUGUCCCCGUCAAGUACUUGUUAAAAAAAUUAUAUAUUUUAUAUUAUAUCUAUAUUUUAUUUAUUUGUUUUGAUUAAUCAUAAAGUAAUUUUUAAACUCCGUGUAAGGCACAGAUAGCUUAUCAUUAAUUAAAAAAGUUUUCUUUUCAAAAGGAUUUAAUUUAAUUUAAAAUAUCAUUUUUCAUUAUAUAUAAUAUUAUUUUGGAGGGUACUUAUAUGAAAGAAACCACAUUAGAAAAUAAAGCCUCUUUCAUAGGAAAUGAUUUUAAAAAAAAUUCUCGCCGCCAAUUCCCCCCCCCCCCCGCUUGUCUCUUCCACUCUUCCAGCAUAUGAAGGAAAAUGAUAAAUGAAAAAUAAAAAAUAUAUAUUUUAGCUUUUCAGUAUUUAUUUUACAUACUUUAAGGGAAGGAGUACUAAACGAAAUAUUAUUUUAUUAUUUCUCUUACAAAAAUAUUGUUCCUAAAUAUCUUGAAAAAAUAUCAAAACAUCAUUCAUUAAAAUAAUAUUUUAUUUAACUAGUUUUUUCUACUUUGAAUUUUUUUUAAAUCUAUUUUUUUUUAUUUGUUUAAUAUAAAAUUAUCCUGAUCUAAUAACUUGUGUCAUGAGUUUAGCGAGUUUAUCCAGGUUGACUCGGAUCAUUGUUUUUUUAAAUUGAUUUUUUUUUAAUUUCAUCCUUUAAUAUUAAAUUCAUUGAAAAUCAUCCAAGUUAUUUUUAAACUCGUCAAAUCAACUGGAUCAUAUUAGGUUGUUAAAAUAAUUAUAUAUUAAAUAUAUUAAAAUACAAUUGACUAUUGAAAUGCACAUAAAAUAAAUAAAUAUAUAUAUACACAAACACAUAGUUAUACUAUUUAAAAAACUAUAUUAUCAAUUUAGCUCUUUUAAAUAUCAUCUCCUCUUAGAGAUGCUCUUGGAGUUUAUGAUUGGCAACGUUGAGAGCAUGAUUUCUAAAAAUAAUUUUUAAUUAAAAAUGUAAUUUUUUUAGUUUUAUUUUUAUUUUUAUUUUUUAUAUAAAAAUAUCUAAAUUAUUAAAAAUAUUUAAAAAUUAUUAUUUUAAUAUUUUUUCAAACAAAAAAAUAAUUUGAAAAACUUUUGAAAAUAUAUUCUAACAAUAAAAACAAAUACUAAACUCUGGUGAUAAGAAAGGUUGUUAGGCAGAUGAUUUAUUUGUGUGCUAGUGUGAAUGAUGUGUCCUUUCAAACAACCAUAAAACUUUCUUAGGCUCCAAAGUCCAGGCACGUGCCCAAGAGCAGACCUCACUGCAAGCCCUGACAUGUCUGUAUUACAAACCCAAACAAACUUUCUAGGCCCUCUUCUUCUUUUACAAUGGUAUUUUAAAAAUAAUUCAAUUAUUCCAUGUUUUGAAUAAUAUUUGAAAUUUUAUUGUAUUAUUUUUUAUUGUGAUAUUUACUUAUUUUUUAUGAUUAUAUAGGAUACUAAUGCGUACAAGUCUAAACAAAUUAGGAUAAAUAUUCAUUAAGAAUAAAAUAUAUAAUUUUUUAUUUUUAUAUUGUCAAACUUUAUAUUAUUUAUUCCAAUUAAUUAUUAAUUUUUUUUUAUAAAGUCACAUGAAAAAAAUUGAAAUAUUUUAUUAUUAUUAUUUUUAAGAUUGCUUUAAAUUAUGAUAAAUUUUAAUAAUAGUGCUUUUGAUAAAAAUAAAAAUAAAAACAAAUUCCCUAGAAAAUUCUUCAAAAACUUAAUGAAUAAGGAAAAUGAAGUCUUGGCUAAAGAAAUCAUUCUUUCUUUCAUAAUUUUAAUCAUUCGAGUUUUGAUAUAUAUUUAUUUUAAUUGCUUUAAAUAUUUGCUCAAAUAAUGAUGUUGUUAAUAAUAUGUAAAAAACAAAAACUAUAAUUAACAAAAACGAAUUUUGACAAUAGAAAUAUAUUUUUUUUCUCAUAAUUUAAAUAAUUAAGGUUUUUAUUAAUAUUUAUUUUAAUUAUUGCAAAAACAAUUAUAGAAUUUAUUCCUCUUAAAUUUUAAAUAGAUGAACUAUUUUUCUUAAUAAAUUUAUAAGAAUGGAAAUUAUAUUCAUUUCGUGAACCAACAUUACCAUCCAUGAUAAGAGAAAAUAAAUAAAAUGAGAAGGUUAACCAGGAUAAAAUAUUUACAUAUGCAUUUAUCUUUCACUUCUUUUAUAAAAGAUAUUUUUCUACUUUAAUCUUUAAUUAGUGUUAAUAACUCUUUUAUGAUUAAAAACCUUACUUUUCAAAUAAGAUUUAAUUUUUUUAAUGGUUAUAUUAUCAAUUAAUUUAUAAGACAUUUUAUCUAAAUCUAAUUUGUAAUUUUGUUUUAAAAGUUGCUCCUGACUAUUCAAUGAGAGUGAUUUUGUAUUUUUCUUAUAUUAAUGUUUAUAUAAUUUUCUUAUAUUAAUUAUUUGUUUUUUAUUUUUUAUACUAUUGCUUGAAAUUACUAUGAUAUAUUUUUAAAAAUGAAUCUUAAAAAGAUAUUAUUGAUUAAAAAAACAUAAUAAGGAAGAAAGUGAUUAAAAUCAUUUGGAUUCUUUUGAGUGUUGAUUUUAAUUGUGUUAAGUUUUUAUUUAGAAAUUAUACUACAUAUAAAAAAAAUACAUAUUUUCAUUAAAAAAACAAAAAUUCUAAAUAUUUUUUUAUAAUUUAAAUUGUAAACUUUUUGAAAAAUAUUUAUUCUCAUUAUCACAUAAUUAAAUAAAAUAAGUUGUAAAACUUUCUGAAAAUUUCCUCACAUAGCUAGUUCUCUUCUAAGGCAUUUCUCAUCAUAAAAAAGAAAUCAAAUUUCAGCUUCUUAUAGGAAUCCCAGGUAGCUUGAGUUUCUUUCCCCCUUUGUAGGGGAAUGCCCCUCUGGCUAGAGGAGAGCCGCCGAGCACAUAAAAGCUUAAUGAAAAAAAAAAAAAACACCGGUUUAAAUUUAAUUAAAUGACUCACAUGCUUUGGAUUAGUAAGUGCCAUCUCCGAUGACUUUGAAGUUAUCCAAACACUUGUUUAGGUUAAACCGGGUGUUUGAGGGUAGUUAUCAGCACUGGGAUAUGGCCAUUACGGAUUUUAUGGACAUCCGUUGAUCAUAGCCAUGAUUUCAUCAACAAUUUAAUAAGCAUGUCAUUAAAUAUAAAGAGUGUGAUUAUUUUCAUUUUAAGAAUUAACUAUGGAGAGAUGGGCACAUCAUAAUUCACUGGACUUGCAAAUUCACAAUGAAGUGGUGAACAGGAAAUUUAUUGUUGAGAGAAAGUGGAAGAGAGAAAACAGAGCAAACGCAGGGGGAUCGAUUAACAUAGAAUUCAAUACAGGGCAAGAUGAAAUGGACAAAAACAGGCUUGGAAACCAACUACCAGCUUAGAGCUUGAAAUACUUUGAAAAUCUGAUUAGAUGGUGACAGCAUCCAUGAACUCCAAAUCGUUUCCUAAAGCCUUCAAAGUCUCCGGCAAGAGGGAUAAUUCAAUGUCCACGCUCCCCUCUUCCAGUCCCGGAAACAAUGUUACCUUCCCAUCGAACUUGUUCCCAGGCCCGCUUCGCACUGCAACCGGCCUUCCCCAACCAAAAUCAGUACCAUAAACGUUGUGCCUCGGCGAGCUGCUAAUAGCCAAACUGUGAAUAAGUCCUAUGCCGGCCAUUGUUAAUGGACUAGGAUUCUUCAGCACCGACGCUAAAGCGUCCGCCACCUUGUUUUUUUCAUACGAAGAAACCACCUUGUUAAUCUCCAAAGCUACAAAUCCAAGCCCUUGCUCCAGUAUCGCUCCUGUUCUCAAAGUUACAAUCCCAGACACAAUUGCAUUUCCACAAUAGCUUUCUGGUAAUGGUGGUUGUAAUCGUGCCCGCAAGCCUAUAAAAAGUCUUAAAUCAAUCUCUUUAUCAUGUUCAAGUAGUCGAGCUCGAGUUGUAGCUCUCCAAAUAUGAGCCAAAAGUGACUGAAGAGAGGAGAUUGACGUAGUGGCAGCUUCAGCAUUGGCUUUUGCUUUGAGCAUCGCUAUUUUUCCCUUGGUAAAAUGAAAAACUCUUUCUUGCAGAGGUGAUGGAAUGAACGAAUCAGAGUUGUUCUUGAUGACUGAGAGAGGAAGGCGAAUCGGCGGGCUAAUACUACAGUUGAGAAGUGAC
RNAcentral lists this long non-coding RNA (26129 nucleotides) under Populus tremula. RNAcentral describes it as "long non-coding RNA (PTRE_LNC002015)". Lineage: Eukaryota; Viridiplantae; Streptophyta; Magnoliopsida; Malpighiales; Salicaceae. The record is from RNAcentral.